RNAcentral lists this ribosomal RNA (429 nucleotides) under bacterium. RNAcentral describes it as "partial 16S ribosomal RNA". It matches the Rfam family "Bacterial small subunit ribosomal RNA", at positions 355 to 776 of the family's 1533-position model. The record is from RNAcentral.
UAGGGAAUCUUCCACAAUGGACGAAAGUCUGAUGGAGCAACGCCGCGUGAGUGAAGAAGGGUUUCGGCUCGUAAAACUCUGUUGUUAAAGAAGAACAUAUCUGAGAGUAACUGUUCAGGUAUUGACGGUAUUUAACCAGAAAGCCACGGCUAACUACGUGCCAGCAGCCGCGGUAAUACGUAGGUGGCAAGCGUUGUCCGGAUUUAUUGGGCGUAAAGCGAGCGCAGGCGGUUUUUUAAGUCUGAUGUGAAAGCCUUCGGCUCAACCGAAGAAGUGCAUCGGAAACUGGGAAAGUUGAGUGCAGAAGAGGACAGUGGAACUCCAUGUGUAGCGGUGAAAUGCGUAGAUAUAUGGAAGAACACCAGUGGCGAAGGCGGCUGUCUGGUCUGUAACUGACGCUGAGGCUCGAAAGUAUGGGUAGCAAACAGG